GUAGACCAAGUAAAUAUUAAUCGUAUAAUUUUGGGGAUAUGGCCCAGAAGUCUCUACCGGCAACCGUAAAUUGCCUGUCUACGUCUCUUUGCUACCCCGAA
Molecule: non-coding RNA, 101 nt
Filed under: Sporomusa malonica
Lineage: Bacteria; Bacillati; Bacillota; Negativicutes; Selenomonadales; Sporomusaceae
Description: Guanine sequence
Rfam family: Purine riboswitch aptamer
About the family: Riboswitches are metabolite binding domains within certain messenger RNAs that serve as precision sensors for their corresponding targets. Allosteric rearrangement of mRNA structure is mediated by ligand binding, and this results in modulation of gene expression.
Source: Rfam by way of RNAcentral